Long non-coding RNA from Asparagus officinalis (garden asparagus), 429 nucleotides. RefSeq lists it as uncharacterized. Lineage: Eukaryota; Viridiplantae; Streptophyta; Magnoliopsida; Asparagales; Asparagaceae. The record is from RefSeq and is a predicted model, not a curated record. The transcript has 3 exons.
UCCCCGGUUGAGUUGCAAAGAGGAUAUGUGCCUCGGGGUAUAGAUGAGAGAGAAUUAGUAUCAGCAAUAGAUGAUGUUCAAACCAUUGCAAAUAGUGGCUUGGAAUUGGCUCGAGCAGGUACAUAUCCCGAAGCACAGAAACAUGCAUCAAUAUAUCAGUCGAUAAUGCAGAGGCUUCACCAAGCCUUACAUCGAACUCAUGAAGACCUUCAUGAUGGACGAGAAGUAGCGCAAUUAGUAUACACACGUCAACAACGACACAGACGAGGACGACGCAGAAACGACAAUGAAGCUGGGCCUUCCCAACGUGUUGACGAUGGAGCUGGACCGUCACAACCACAAACGCAACCGGAUCAUGAACUCAUCGAAGGUCGGGAUAGAGGAGGCCGAAGACAAAGGAGGAGGAGAAGAGUUCUUGGAUGUAUGUAA